This 210-nucleotide long non-coding RNA is filed under the name Callithrix jacchus (white-tufted-ear marmoset). Its description in RNAcentral is "lncRNA (ENSCJAG00000053637.2)". The record is from RNAcentral. Lineage: Eukaryota; Metazoa; Chordata; Mammalia; Primates; Cebidae.
ACGGAGUCUUGUGUGAGCAUAUUUUUGGAUACAUUUCAAAAUGUAAUACAGAUUUCUAAAUAUUUAAAAGAAGACCUUGGCUCUCAACCAGUGUCAUUGAUGUGCUGCCUGAAAGCUUGCAUCCCAGGCCUGGCUUUUCUGAAAUUCCCUGGGUGCUUAUUAUAAUUGUUUCUUCCCUGUGAAUUUCUUCACUUGCAAUCUUGUUGUGGA